This 85-nucleotide transfer RNA is filed under the name Thermoplasmata archaeon. RNAcentral describes it as "tRNA-Leu". It matches the Rfam family "tRNA". From Rfam's summary of the family: Transfer RNA (tRNA) molecules are approximately 80 nucleotides in length. Their secondary structure includes four short double-helical elements and three loops (D, anti-codon, and T loops). RNAcentral also lists the same sequence under 1 other name. Lineage: Archaea; Methanobacteriati; Thermoplasmatota; Thermoplasmata. The record is from RNAcentral.
GCAGGGGUAGCCAAGCCUGGCCAACGGCGCAGGCUUCAGGAGCCUGUCCUGUAGAGGUUCAAGGGUUCAAAUCCCUUCCCCUGCA